RNAcentral lists this ribosomal RNA (1582 nucleotides) under Escherichia coli. Its description in RNAcentral is "partial 23S ribosomal RNA". It matches the Rfam family "Bacterial large subunit ribosomal RNA", at positions 296 to 1869 of the family's 2925-position model. Lineage: Bacteria; Pseudomonadati; Pseudomonadota; Gammaproteobacteria; Enterobacterales; Enterobacteriaceae. The record is from RNAcentral.
AGCAGCCCAGAGCCUGAAUCAGUGUGUGUGUUAGUGGAAGCGUCUGGAAAGGCGCGUGAUACAGGGUGACAGCCCCGUACACAAAAAUGCACAUGCUGUGAGCUCGAUGAGUAGGGCGGGACACGUGGUAUCCUGUCUGAAUAUGGGGGGACCAUCCUCCAAGGCUAAAUACUCCUGACUGACCGAUAGUGAACCAGUACCGUGAGGGAAAGGCGAAAAGAACCCCGGCGAGGGGAGUGAAAAAGAACCUGAAACCGUGUACGUACAAGCAGUGGGAGCACGCUUAGGCGUGUGACUGCGUACCUUUUGUAUAAUGGGUCAGCGACUUAUAUUCUGUAGCAAGGUUAACCGAAUAGGGGAGCCGAAGGGAAACCGAGUCUUAACUGGGCGUUAAGUUGCAGGGUAUAGACCCGAAACCCGGUGAUCUAGCCAUGGGCAGGUUGAAGGUUGGGUAACACUAACUGGAGGACCGAACCGACUAAUGUUGAAAAAUUAGCGGAUGACUUGUGGCUGGGGGUGAAAGGCCAAUCAAACCGGGAGAUAGCUGGUUCUCCCCGAAAGCUAUUUAGGUAGCGCCUCGUGAAUUCAUCUCCGGGGGUAGAGCACUGUUUCGGCAAGGGGGUCAUCCCGACUUACCAACCCGAUGCAAACUGCGAAUACCGGAGAAUGUUAUCACGGGAGACACACGGCGGGUGCUAACGUCCGUCGUGAAGAGGGAAACAACCCAGACCGCCAGCUAAGGUCCCAAAGUCAUGGUUAAGUGGGAAACGAUGUGGGAAGGCCCAGACAGCCAGGAUGUUGGCUUAGAAGCAGCCAUCAUUUAAAGAAAGCGUAAUAGCUCACUGGUCGAGUCGGCCUGCGCGGAAGAUGUAACGGGGCUAAACCAUGCACCGAAGCUGCGGCAGCGACGCUUAUGCGUUGUUGGGUAGGGGAGCGUUCUGUAAGCCUGUGAAGGUGUACUGUGAGGUAUGCUGGAGGUAUCAGAAGUGCGAAUGCUGACAUAAGUAACGAUAAAGCGGGUGAAAAGCCCGCUCGCCGGAAGACCAAGGGUUCCUGUCCAACGUUAAUCGGGGCAGGGUGAGUCGACCCCUAAGGCGAGGCCGAAAGGCGUAGUCGAUGGGAAACAGGUUAAUAUUCCUGUACUUGGUGUUACUGCGAAGGGGGGACGGAGAAGGCUAUGUUGGCCGGGCGACGGUUGUCCCGGUUUAAGCGUGUAGGCUGGUUUUCCAGGCAAAUCCGGAAAAUCAAGGCUGAGGCGUGAUGACGAGGCACUACGGUGCUGAAGCAACAAAUGCCCUGCUUCCAGGAAAAGCCUCUAAGCAUCAGGUAACAUCAAAUCGUACCCCAAACCGACACAGGUGGUCAGGUAGAGAAUACCAAGGCGCUUGAGAGAACUCGGGUGAAGGAACUAGGCAAAAUGGUGCCGUAACUUCGGGAGAAGGCACGCUGAUAUGUAGGUGAAGUCCCUCGCGGAUGGAGCUGAAAUCAGUCGAAGAUACCAGCUGGCUGCAACUGUUUAUUAAAAACACAGCACUGUGCAAACACGAAAGUGGACGUAUACGGUGUGACGCCUGCCCGGUGC